This is a long non-coding RNA of Micropterus dolomieu (smallmouth bass), 3995 nucleotides long. RefSeq lists it as uncharacterized. Lineage: Eukaryota; Metazoa; Chordata; Actinopteri; Centrarchiformes; Centrarchidae. The record is from RefSeq and is a predicted model, not a curated record. The transcript has 3 exons.
CUGUCCAUGAGGUUUUCGCUUUUCCCUCCCGGUAAUCACGCACUAUUCAAAGCCAAGAGGUGGAGCAGCUGAAACGUGCCUGAAACCAUUUCAUAGAAAUCCAUUCGCCUCUGGCAAGUCCUGUUGGUGGUGAGCAAAAAAAAGCCACAUGCAGCUUUUUCAGUUUGUUAUUCUCGGGACCGACAGCGUAGGAGAAAAAAAAAAGAAGGAGGAGGAGGAAGAAGAGGAGGUGACGACCGGGACUGGUCGCCCACACGCUGCCCUGCCUGGCGCGGCUACGAUAUUUUGUCCGAGAGCGCUUUGAAAAAUCCGCUGAGGACAAGUCACACAGUCAGUGUGUAUGUGUGUGUGCGCGCGCGCGUGUGUGAGCGCGUGUUACUGUAACUGCGCGUGUGUGUCUGUGUGUGCGUGAAUCGAUGAGAUACGUGCUUGAUUGGGUCUCCCUUGUUGUAAUGUACAUGAGGAGGAGGGGACGGGCUUAGGCUGCUCCCAUGCAUGCAGGCUGGCUGGAGCGCACGGAUCAACCGAGCUCUAGCGCCUACUGCCAAACACUUUGUUGGCCGCUGAUGGUACUUUUCUCCCUUUUUUUCGUUACGUGGCUUGAUAGGAGCUAUUUAAAUCAGCCACGCAGCGAAUCAGACGCGUCUCCCAACACUGCGCUCCGCUCUCCUUCCUGCGCCUCAAGUGACCGGAGAGGCGCAAAACCCUCACUAAGCGCUGUCCCUGUUGUUGGCACUGACUGGAAUAAAGUAAUGUUUUUCUUCACAGGCAAUCCUCGGGGUGGGACGCGUGGCUUCACGGCGGUGAAACAAAGGAUAAAGGAUUCUUGAAGAGGGGAAUGGAAGAGCAAUAUGGGCCGGUGCUGGCAUCUGCAAGAUCAUUUGUUACGAUCCAGUGCAUUUGAACUCAACUAGAACCAACAAUCUACCUGGGUAUGAGAGACCAUAUGCACACACACACACUUAGGUGCUAAGCAUCACACUCAUCUGUUAAACGGAGUGAACACGUCACUCUUUACUAAGUAGAAGUUUCACUCAUCUCUCGUCCCUCGCUCUCCCAUCUGUCCAUGUCAUCCCUCAGCACUCACCCAUCAGUUAGUCUAACACACACACACACACACCUUUCUCCACAUCAGCCAUCAGUUUGUCCGACAGACACAUAAAGGAACAUAUUCACAUUCACACACAGAUCAACUCCUUUACAUCACACAUCAGAUAACCCCAGAUUCAGACACACACACACACACACACACACACACACACACACACAACCGAUCGCACAUCAGUUUUAUCUUUUAUGCUAAAGUAGAGAGGGGGUGUUGCAGCGGGAGGGGUUGACAGGAGGGAAGAGGAAGUACACAGGAAGUACAUUAGUUAUCACUCCCAUGUCUUCUCCACCUUUUCACUUCUUAUCACCACUCGAUGUCUCAGACCCCAGCUGAGCUGCCUCUCCUUCUCAUCCCACCCCUUUCCUUUUCUCUUUCUGUCUCUCUUUCUUACACACACACCUCUAAAAAUGACUUCCGUGCUCCACUUUAGUGUCGGGCCCUGGGAUCUAGAUGACAUUUGGCAAGCUGCAGAAGCCGCGAGACAACUGGAUGAAAUAUUUAAAUGAAAGACGGCAGGGGUAGAAGAGGUGAAGAACAGAAGGGGGAAAAGAGGGAGAGAAAGGAAUACAGGACAGAGGGCGAGGGAAGGAGAGAGUGACGAUAUUCAGAUGGUGAGCAGAAUGUGAAGGAUUUCUUUUCUUGGCAAAGAGAUGGCCAUGUGACAAGAAGUGCAAAUGAUUUGGCUUUCACCUACAAAGUAUCCUGACUAAAAAUCAACCUCUGUAGUAUGAGAUCACAUCUUUUUGUCUUGGAAUCAUCAGCAAGUCUCAGUAUGUUUUAUACUACUUUGAGCACUGUGCCAGCUCAGCUGCUUGGAGUGGGGCUAUGAAUCUAAAACAUAAACAAAUUAAAUGUAACUCUGUUACAUUGUGACCUUAGAAUUAUAAGGUUCUAUUGGACUUCUAUCAGACUAAAUGCUGUAUGCUAAUGCUAGCAUGGCAACAUGCUCAAUGACAAUGAUAAGCUGAUGUUUAGUGGGUUUAACGUUUACUUUAUUUAUAAUCUUAGUUUAAUGUGUUGGCAUGCUAACACCGCUUUGCUUAUUUGAAUUUACAUCCAGCACUCUUGACAGUUACACAACUCAUUAUAAUGUUUGUUUGCAAGAGUCCCUCUUUAUGUUAGUAACUCAAUGUAUAGCUAAGUACAGAUCUUUAAAAUGCAGAUACAAGUGUAUCCUAAAAAUGCGAAAAUCGUGGAAAACUUAAUUUAAACAGCACUGAACCAGACUGAAAGAUUAAAGGCUAAGGAAACUUUGGCAGGUGUUUUGCUUUAAUUAGCUGAUUAGAUUUAUUCUCAGAUCGACAUUUCUGUGUUACAAAUUCUUUAUUCUAAAAUUCUAUAAUAUUUUGAUUAUUACAAGUUUUGAUUCCCACGUGCUGUAAGCUGUAGUCAUCAAGCUUAAAACAAAAAAGGCAUGAAACAUUUCACUUUAUGAGUAAUGAAUCUAGAAUAUAUGAAAGGUUCACUUUUAGAAUUAAAUUACAGAAACAAUUGAACUUUUCCAUGAUAUAAAAUUUUUUUUAGAUGAACCAAUACAUGAAGGUUUCUAGCAAAAUAAUUGCUAAAACAUUUUAGUGAUCUGAUGCCAACUCUAAAGUGCUGCAAACAGUAUGUGUGGCUGCUUAUAACUUAUCUACUACUGCAGACUCAAAAUGAUAACUACAUUCAGACAGCCUUGGGUUAUCAAGGUUGUCCAGGCAAAAAUGUAGAUGCUAAUUUGUGAGCAGAAAAAGACACACACAUAUAAAACAAUAGUGAAAGACUAAUUCUCUGGAACCUCUCAGUUCAUUUCCGAUUUCAACGGGUGCAGACCAAAAUGCCUCCGGACACAACUGGAUAGACAUACAAAGAAUUAGAGCAAUGAAAGUCGUGAUGUAACAUAGUAGAUAAAUUAAACUUGAAAUGUAUAGAUGUAUAGAAAAUAUAAUACUGAUGUGAUAGUGGAUUCAACAGAAAUAGUUCUACAUCAGCGGCAGCCAUCUUGGUUAUUUACGAAAAUACCUCAACAGCCAAUAAGGUUGCGCUCCUCUCUACAGUCAUUAUAUCAAACCGAUCCCACAUUCACUUUUUUGCAUAGUUUUUUAAUCCAUUAUUAUUUAUUUAUUUAAAAUGUGUAGCUGUGUAUGUGCUAACAUGCCUCAAAUCAAUGGUGCAUCAAAUAUUAAAACCAAAUAAGAUUAUAUUUAUAAUUAUUGCUUUACAAUUCCAAACAGAAAAUUAGUUAUUGUAUUAGGAGGUUCCAUUUAAAAUGGGGUUGGGAUUUAUUAUUAUAUAUUUCCUUUAGGGUGCCUGUCUAGUAAAACCUUUCUGCAUGUCAUUUUUACCAUUUAAGAAGGGAAAAUCUCAAUAUCUGGAUCACAAAUAGAACAUCAUAAUUAUGUUUGAUUUCCUCUCCCACUCAAGACAAAUACUUUUAAGUGUGUACAUACAUAUGUGUGUUUAUUCAAUUUGUCCAGUUGUUGAAUUCUUUAAUAAUUUUCUUACCCAGUUGUGUGUGCAGAACUGCAUGAUGGAUGUGCAAUUUCAUAUUUAAAAUCCAUACAUGUGUGUUUUUUCACUGUGUGUGUGUGUGUGUGUGUGUAGGCCUUUGUGCAUAUUCUGUAUGUAUAUAAUUUUACUGUACAACUAUAAACAUUUACGUAUGGGUUUGUGUUUGCAGUAUAAGUUAUACCCCUUUGUGCUGCAUUGCUGACUUGUAUGGUUCUUAUCACUGUUAAGUCUUGUUCUUACAGAACUGAACAUCAGGCCUGUCUGUCAAAGAAAUGAGGGAGUUUGUUAGCUUGUAUAGGUAACAAACAUAAAUGUGCAGCAAAGAAGUGAAUACAAUUUCACUGUGUCCUGCAGUUUUAUGAAUUGGAAAAAAGUCAAUAAAAAAAUGACGAUUUUA